This 815-nucleotide ribosomal RNA is filed under the name uncultured Acidobacteriaceae bacterium. RNAcentral describes it as "bacterial SSU rRNA". It matches the Rfam family "Bacterial small subunit ribosomal RNA", at positions 58 to 904 of the family's 1533-position model. Lineage: Bacteria; Pseudomonadati; Acidobacteriota; Terriglobia; Terriglobales; Acidobacteriaceae. The record is from RNAcentral.
CAAGUCGAACGAGAAAGUGGAGCAAUCCAUGAGUAAAGUGGCGCACGGGUGAGUAACACGUGACUAACCUACCCUGGAGUGGGGGAUAACUGAGGGAAACCUUAGCUAAUACCGCAUAACACCUACGGGUCAAAGGAGCAAUUCGCUUCAGGAGGGGGUCGCGGCCGAUUAGUUAGUUGGCAGGGUAAUGGCCUACCAAGACGAUGAUCGGUAUCCGGCCUGAGAGGGCGCACGGACACACUGGAACUGAAACACGGUCCAGACUCCUACGGGAGGCAGCAGUGGGGAAUUUUGCGCAAUGGGGGAAACCCUGACGCAGCAACGCCGCGUGGAGGAUGAAGUCCUUCGGGACGUAAACUCCUUUCGAUCGGGACGAUUAUGACGGUACCGGAAGAAGAAGCCCCGGCUAACUUCGUGCCAGCAGCCGCGGUAAUACGAGGGGGGCGAGCGUUGUUCGGAAUUAUUGGGCGUAAAGGGUGCGUAGGCGGUUUGGUAAGUCUUAUGUGAAAUCUACAGGCUCAACUUGUAGUCUGCAUGAGAAACUGCCGGGCUUGAGUAUGGGAGAGGUGAGUGGAAUUCCUGGUGUAGCGGUGAAAUGCGUAGAUAUCAGGAGGAACACCUGUGGCGAAAGCGGCUCACUGGACCAUAACUGACGCUGAUGCACGAAAGCUAGGGGAGCAAACAGGAUUAGAUACCCUGGUAGUCCUAGCCCUAAACGAUGACUGCUUGGUGUGACGGGUACCCAAUCCCGCCGUGCCGUAGCUAACGCGUUAAGCAGUCCGCCUGGGGAGUACGGUCGCAAGGCUGAAACUCAA